GGGGACGCAACACAAUUCUCCAAAAUGGCCGCUGUGCGGCUCCGAUCUGAAAGGUAGAUUUCCUACAGCUUUAAGAAUAAACACGAUGUUUUUAAUUUCCGUGAUAUUGUAUCGGUUAAUUUAAGAAAAGUUUUUAGUGUAUCGUGGCUGAACCUGUGUGUGUAGUUUUCGACGAACUUGGCGCAUUAGCAGAAAACCCCCACUGUUUGGACGAAGGCCUCCCUCCUGCCGUCACCGGCCUGCCUUUAUUCCUGUUUUCAAGCAAGCAUUCUGGCGUUUUUGCGGCAUUAAAGACGGAAUAAAGCGAUUCACCUGCGAUGGAAUGAGGACGGAAUAUAAAUAAAAGUCACCAAAAAAAAAAAGCCGGUGAACCACAAGGCCGCAAAUCAGACCUCGGACCCCGGUGCACCUGUCACCCCGAGAAAGAGGCAGGAGGAGCGGGGAGUCAUUCCCUUCACGAGCACGGAGCUACUGGAGAGCUCCAAGGUAGGAGGAAGAUGGAGGAGAUAAAGACUGAAAGUUCGAAUAAUGUUGAGGAAGUGAAGCUGCAAGAAGAAGUGGCGGAAGAUCCUAAUGGUCCAAAGAAGAAAGGGCGCCGGAAAAAAGAUGUUAAAACCCCAAGGCGGCCGACUAAAAGGAAGAAGCCCCCAGUGGAGUACGUUCGCUGCGAAAUCGAAGGAUGCGGCACCGUUCUGGCGAACCGUCGCUACCUAAAGCAUCACAUCAAAUACCAGCACUUGCUUAAAAAGAAGUACGUGUGCCCUCAUCCCUAUUGUGGAACGCUUUUCCGCCUACAAAGGCAGCUAUUUCGCCAUGCCAAGCAACACACAGACCAGAGAGACUACGUCUGCGAGUUCUGUACUCGUGCCUUCAAGAACGCCUACAAUCUGGCUGUGCAUCGCAUGAUCCACACGGGAGAGAAGCCCAUCCAGUGUGAGAUCUGUGGCUUCACCUGUCGCCAGAAGGCCUCCCUCAACUGGCACAUGAAGAAGCACGACGGCGACGCCUCCUAUCAGUUCCCCUGCUCCAUUUGCGGCAAGAAGUUUGAGAAGAAGGACUCGGUGGCGGCCCACAAGGCCAAGAGUCACCCGGUGAUGCUGAUAUCGGAAGCGCUCGCAGACAACGCCGGCACCCUCAUCACAAACCCCGCGCCCUCGCCGGAGCUGCCGGGAGAACCGGUGCAAGUGGAGGUGGCCGGCGUGGAAGCCAACCAAGUGGUUGAGGAUGAAGUGGUGCAGCAGGUGGUGAUCAAGGAAGAAUAUGUGGAAGAGUAAGUGGCUCAGGUAUCCCAGAUGAGUCAUGUGCCCUAACAAGGUCAGCAGGCAGCUCUGAUAGACCCUCCGUGCCACCCGGGUACCUGUGGACGAGCAGCAGCAGUCUCACCUUCAGCUCCAGACCAUUUAGCAGCCCCCACAACUUACUUUCCAUUGCCCCUCAGUGGUGACCCGACACACCUUGAAGAUUCCUUGUGGAAGGAAGUAUGUUGGAAGGAACUCAUCUUACUUGCAUUCUCAUCUGUUAUUGAUGUCAACUUACUGGACUGAAGACGGCGCAGGCAAGAUUCCUUGCUGCCAAAUUGAAGACAGGCGGGCUGGACUUUGGAUACUCCUGGUAUUGAGAUGGAGAAUUGCAGCUUCUUUUUAAGAGAAACCCUUUUUAUAGUUUGAGUAAAGAGAUACUGGAGACGACUCAUUCAGGGUCCAAGUGGCUGCUCAGAUUUGUUGAUGCUUAACUUAUUAACAAACAAAUAGUGGUUGUACUGUACUGUACGUGUAAAAUGAUGUGUGUAUGGUUUACUCCACUCAUUGUGGAACAGACUUUUCUUCUUCUUCAGCUGCACUGAUGGCUUUGCUCUUCCCAUGUAAUCUUGUAGAGAACCAGUCCAAUAUGACAUGUUAAUCUUGCUAUAUGGUCCCUCUGUUCUCAAUGUCAUUCAAACGCUUGCACGUUGGACUCCCCAUUUCUGCCCUCACAUAUUUUUCUCACCUUUUCUGGCUCUCUGUGCUCGUGCUGUCUUUUCAUGUCCGUCAAAGAAUGCUAAGAUCUGCCAUUUUUUUUGUUUUACUUGUGUUGAGUAGUUAAGCUGUUUAUUAAAAACAUGUUUUCUUAUUACCA
Molecule: RNA transcript, 2115 nt
Organism: Nerophis lumbriciformis (worm pipefish)
Lineage: Eukaryota; Metazoa; Chordata; Actinopteri; Syngnathiformes; Syngnathidae
Gene name: E3 ubiquitin-protein ligase ZFP91-like
Source: RefSeq, a predicted model, not a curated record